Molecule: ribosomal RNA, 372 nt
Filed under: uncultured bacterium
Lineage: Bacteria
Description: bacterial SSU rRNA
Rfam family: Bacterial small subunit ribosomal RNA
Source: RNAcentral
AGAGGGUGCGAGCGUUAAUCGGAAUUACUGGGCGUAAAGCGUGCGUAGACGGUUAUUUAAGUCGGGUGUGAAAGCCCCGGGCUCAACCUGGGAAUUGCAUUCGAGACUGAAUAGCUAGGGUACGGUAGAGGGAAGCGGAAUUUCCGGUGUAGCGGUGAAAUGCGUAGAUAUCGGAAGGAACAUCAGUGGCGAAAGCGGCUUCCUGGACCAGUACCGACGUUCAGGCACGAAAGCGUGGGGAGCAAACAGGAUUAGAUACCCUGGUAGUCCACGCCAUAAACGAUGAGGACUAGACGUUGGAGGGGUAAGCCUUUCAGUGUCGUAGCUAACGCGCUAAGUCCUCCGCCUGGGGAGUACGGCCGCAAGGUUGAA